Molecule: ribosomal RNA, 502 nt
Filed under: uncultured microorganism
Description: bacterial SSU rRNA
Rfam family: Bacterial small subunit ribosomal RNA
Source: RNAcentral
GAGUUUGAUCGUGGCUCAGGAUGAACGCUGGCGGCGUGCCUAAUACAUGCAAGUCGAGCGGACGGACGAGAAGCUUGCUUCUCUGAUGUUAGCGGCGGACGGGUGAGUAACACGUGGAUAACCUACCUAUAAGACUGGGAUAACUUCGGGAAACCGGAGCUAAUACCGGAUAAUAUUUUGAACCGCAUGGUUCAAAAGUGAAAGACGGUCUUGCUGUCACUUAUAGAUGGAUCCGCGCUGCAUUAGCUAGUUGGUAAGGUAACGGCUUACCAAGGCAACGAUGCAUAGCCGACCUGAGAGGGUGAUCGGCCACACCGGAACUGAGACACGGUCCAGACUCCUACGGGAGGCAGGCAGUAGGGAAUCUUCCGCAAUGGGCGAAAGCCUGACGGAGCAACGCCGCGUGAGUGAUGAAGGUCUUCGGAUCGUGAAACUCUGUUAUUAGGGAAGAACAUAUGUGUAAGUAACUGUGCACAUCUUGACGGUACCUAAUCAGAAAGCC